Molecule: transfer RNA, 82 nt
Filed under: Pseudomonas phage ZC03
Lineage: Duplodnaviria; Heunggongvirae; Uroviricota; Caudoviricetes; Schitoviridae
Description: tRNA-Arg
Rfam family: tRNA
About the family: Transfer RNA (tRNA) molecules are approximately 80 nucleotides in length.
Source: RNAcentral
GAACCCUGUAGCUGAAUUGGUUCACGCGCUGGCGAUUACGGGCAACGUCCAGAGAUGCAGGUUCGAAUCCUGCCAGGGUUCU